This 465-nucleotide ribosomal RNA is filed under the name uncultured bacterium. RNAcentral describes it as "bacterial SSU rRNA". It matches the Rfam family "Bacterial small subunit ribosomal RNA", at positions 338 to 795 of the family's 1533-position model. The record is from RNAcentral.
CCUACGGGGUGCACCAGUAGGGAAUCUUCGGCAAUGGUCGAAAGUCUGACCGAGCAAGGCCGCGUGAGUGAAGAAGGUUUUCGAAUCGUAAAACUCUGUUGUUAGAGAAGAACAAGUAGGAGAGUAACUGCUCUUACCUUGACGGUAUCUAACCAGAAAGCCACGGCUAACUACGUGCCAGCAGCCGCGGUAAUACGUAGGUGGCAAGCGUUGUCCGGAUUUAUUGGGCGUAAAGCGAGCGCAGGCGGUCUUUUAAGUCUGAUGUGAAAGCCCUCGGCUCAACCGAGGAAGGUCAUUGGAAACUGGAGGACUUGAGUGCAGAAGAGGAGAGUGGAAUUCCAUGUGUAGCGGUGAAAUGCGUAGAUAUAUGGAGGAACACCAGUGGCGAAGGCGACUCUCUGGUCUGUAAUUGACGCUGAGGCUCGAAAGCGUGGGGAGCAAACAGGAUUAGAUACCCCCGUAGUC